AUACGUAGGUCCCGAACGUUGCGCGAAAUUACUGGGCGUAAAGGGUCCGUAAGCGGUCUGGUAAGUGGAAGGUGAAAGCCUGGGGCUCAACUCCAGAAUUGCCUUCCAAACUGCCGGACUUGAGGCAGGGAGAGGUCGGCGGAAUUCCCGGUGUAGUGGUGAAAUGCGUAGGUAUCGGGAGGAACACCAGUGGCGAAGGCGGCCGACUGGAACUGUCCUGACGCUGAGGGACGAAAGCCAGGGGAGCGAACCGGAUUAGAAACCCUAGUAGUCC
RNAcentral lists this ribosomal RNA (274 nucleotides) under uncultured bacterium. RNAcentral describes it as "partial 16S ribosomal RNA". It matches the Rfam family "Bacterial small subunit ribosomal RNA", at positions 523 to 796 of the family's 1533-position model. The record is from RNAcentral.